GAUGAACGCUGGCGGCGUGCCUAAUACAUGCAAGUCGAGCGAACAGACGAGGAGCUUGCUCCUCUGACGUUAGCGGCGGACGGGUGAGUAACACGUGGAUAACCUACCUAUAAGACUGGGAUAACUUCGGGAAACCGGAGCUAAUACCGGAUAACAUGUUGAACCGCAUGGUUCAACAGUGAAAGACGGUCUUGCUGUCACUUAUAGAUGGAUCCGCGCCGCAUUAGCUAGUUGGUAAGGUAACGGCUUACCAAGGCAACGAUGCGUAGCCGACCUGAGAGGGUGAUCGGCCACACUGGAACUGAGACACGGUCCAGACUCCUACGGGAGGCAGCAGUAGGGAAUCUUCCGCAAUGGGCGAAAGCCUGACGGAGCAACGCCGCGUGAGUGAAGAAGGUCUUCGGAUCGUAAAACUCUGUUAUUAGGGAAGAACAAAUGUGUAAGUAACUAUGCACGUCUUGACGGUACCUAAUCAGAGAGCCACGGCUAACUACGUG
RNAcentral lists this ribosomal RNA (497 nucleotides) under uncultured bacterium. RNAcentral describes it as "partial 16S ribosomal RNA". It matches the Rfam family "Bacterial small subunit ribosomal RNA", at positions 28 to 507 of the family's 1533-position model. The record is from RNAcentral.